RNAcentral lists this ribosomal RNA (506 nucleotides) under uncultured bacterium. Its description in RNAcentral is "partial 16S ribosomal RNA". It matches the Rfam family "Bacterial small subunit ribosomal RNA", at positions 29 to 523 of the family's 1533-position model. The record is from RNAcentral.
AGUGAACGCUGGCGGUAGGCCUAGCACAUGCAAGUCGAACGGCAGCACAGAGGAGCUUGCUCCUUGGGUGGCGAGUGGCGGACGGUUGAGGAAUACAUCGGAAUCUACUCUGUCGUGGGGGAUAACGUAGGGAAACUUACGCUAAUACCGCAUACGACCUACGGGUGAAAGCAGGGGACCUUCGGGCCUUGCGCGAUUGAAUGAGCCGAUGUCGGAUUAGCUAGUUGGCGGGGUAAAGGCCCACCAAGGCGACGAUCCGUAGCUGGUCUGAGAGGAUGAUCAGCCACACUGGAACUGAGACACGGUCCAGACUCCUACGGGAGGCAGCAGUGGGGAAUAUUGGACAAUGGGCGCAAGCCUGAUCCAGCCAUACCGCGUGGGUGAAGAAGGCCUUCGGGUUGUAAAGCCCUUUUGUUGGGAAAGAAAUCCAGCUGGCUAAUACCCGGUUGGGAUGACGGUACCCAAAGAAUAAGCACCGGCUAACUUCGUGCCAGCCGCCGCAGUAA